This is a long non-coding RNA of Ceratitis capitata (Mediterranean fruit fly), 180 nucleotides long. RefSeq lists it as uncharacterized. The record is from RefSeq and is a predicted model, not a curated record. NCBI's taxonomy places the organism in Eukaryota, Metazoa, Arthropoda, Insecta, Diptera, Tephritidae. The transcript has 3 exons.
AAACACCUUAAGAAUAAUAUGAAAUAUGAUGUCUUGUGUCUGCAAUUUAAUCACACCAAGGUUAACAGCUUUCAAACUGAUGGCAACUCUCCACAAGAACGGUUUCAGCCUUAUUGGUAUGGUUAUAUAAGUUGCCACAUAUUUUCAAAAAAUUUCAUCCACGGAGAAGGCCGGAAUCAC